GCUUCGGCUGUCACUUUAGGAUGGACCCGCGGCGCAUUAGCUUGUUGGUAAGGUAACGGCUUACCAAGGCGAUGAUACGUAGCCGACCUGAGAGGGUAAUCGGCCACAUUGGGACUGAGACACGGCCCAAACUCCUACGGGAGGCAGCAGUAGGGAAUCUUCCACAAUGGACGAAAGUCUGAUGGAGCAACGCCGCGUGAGUGAUGAAGGGUUUCGGCUCGUAAAACUCUGUUGUUGGAGAAGAACAGGUGUCAGAGUAACUGUUGACAUCUUGACGGUAUCCAACCAGAAAGCCACGGCUAACUACGUGCCAGCAGCCGCGGUAAUACGUAGGUGGCAAGCGUUGUCCGGAUUUAUUGGGCGUAAAGCGAGCGCAGGCGGUUUUUUAGGUCUGAUGUGAAAGCCUUCGGCUUAACCGGAGAAGUGCAUCGGAAACCGGGAGACUUGAGUGCAGAAGAGGACAGUGGAACUCCAUGUGUAGCGGUGAAAUGCGUAGAUAUAUGGAAGAACACCAGUGGCGAAGGCGGCUGUCUGGUCUGUAACUGACGCUGAGGCUCGAAAGCAUGGGUAGCGA
RNAcentral lists this ribosomal RNA (574 nucleotides) under uncultured bacterium. RNAcentral's name for it is "bacterial SSU rRNA". It matches the Rfam family "Bacterial small subunit ribosomal RNA", at positions 207 to 771 of the family's 1533-position model. The record is from RNAcentral.